UACGUAGGUGACCAGCGUUGUCCGGAUUUACUGGGCGUAAAGAGCGCGCAGGCGGUCGUUCAAGUCGAGUGUGAAAGCCCCCGGCUCAACUGGGGAGGGUCACUCGAUACUGAUCGACUUGAAGGCAGGAGAGGGAAGCGGAAUUCCCGGUGUAGUGGUGAAAUGCGUAGAUAUCGGGAGGAACACCAGUGGCGAAGGCGGCUUCCUGGCCUGUUCUUGACGCUGAGG
Molecule: ribosomal RNA, 228 nt
Filed under: uncultured bacterium
Lineage: Bacteria
Description: partial 16S ribosomal RNA
Rfam family: Bacterial small subunit ribosomal RNA
Source: RNAcentral